Molecule: ribosomal RNA, 253 nt
Filed under: uncultured bacterium
Lineage: Bacteria
Description: partial 16S ribosomal RNA
Rfam family: Bacterial small subunit ribosomal RNA
Source: RNAcentral
UACGGAGGGUGCGAGCGUUGUCCGGAAUCAUUGGGCGUAAAGCGCGUGUAGGCGGUCCGGUAAGUCCGCUGUGAAAGUCGGGGGCUCAACCCUCGGAUGGCGGUGGAUACUGUCGGGCUAGAGUGCGGAAGAGGCGAGUGGAAUUCCUGGUGUAGCGGUGAAAUGCGCAGAUAUCAGGAGGAACACCAAUUGCGAAGGCAGCUCGCUGGGACGUAACUGACGCUGAGACGCGAAAGCGUGGGGAGCAAACAGG